This is a long non-coding RNA of Centruroides sculpturatus (bark scorpion), 1219 nucleotides long. RefSeq lists it as uncharacterized. Lineage: Eukaryota; Metazoa; Arthropoda; Arachnida; Scorpiones; Buthidae. The record is from RefSeq and is a predicted model, not a curated record. The transcript is spliced from 4 exons.
CAGCGUGAAAGAAGUUUCAGAUGAACCAGUCAAAUGAUUGAUAAGGAAACUCAAAGUUUGCUCGUCAAUUAUUUUAUUUUAAUUGUUCUUCUUUUAAUUCUUUGGAUACUUUAUAUCGAGGAAAUUUAAAAACUAAAUACAAUAUGAAAGAAGAUGAACAAACCAUUUUUAUGAAAGGGAGGAGUAAGAAGCGUCAGAAACGUAAAUAGUUUUGGAUAUGAGCUUUAGUUUCAGUCGAAACGUAAAAUGGAUGCAGACAAGGAAGCGAAAAGUUUAAUUGUGAAUUAUGUGGUAUUGAUUGUAUUACUAUUGGUACUAUGGGUUCUUUAUAUGGGAAUGUAGAGAUUGAAAACGGGACAUAAAUAAGGAAAAAAACAUAUCAAGUUCAUUUGAAUUCAGAUGAAAAUAUGGAACAAUUUACACCCAGUGCUUUAUUCAUCAAUAAUUUAAGUGUUUCAUAUGUUCGUUAAUGAAAUAUUUAUGUAUAUCUAUCAUGACACAUUUUUUAAAAUUUGAAUCUGGAUAAUAUUGUAGUCAUUUCUCUAAUUUUAAAUGUCAAAAUAGCUUCUUUCAGAAAAAAAAACAUUUAUAAAUUUUUUAUGUUUAAAACUCUUUUGUAUUAAAUAAAUUCUAAUAAGAAUGAUCAAAUAAAUAAUAAAAAUUACAAUUUUUGUAUUUAUGAAAUGAUUAUGAAGGAUUUCUUAAAUGCGAUCAUAAGUAUAAUGUUAACUGAUCAUAUACCUAUUAAAUAAAACAUGUGGCAGUACAUUAAUUGAAAGGUACAGUUGUAAAAAAUGGUUAGUGCCAUUUCCAUUAGUACGUUAAAAUGCGUGCUAACAGCUAAGCAGUGAUGUGUGUAUUUAAAUUUAAAAUGUACUUUUUAACUAUAACGUAAUUAUAUUCUGAUUAAAGUAAAAACAAAAAACUUCUUAAGACGUCUAAUUUUUUCCAUUUUCUCUAUACUUUCAACAUAACGCUUACCAUCUUUUACCUCAGAACCUUUCAAUUACAUGUGAAAUUUAAGGGAAGGAAUUGUGAAAAGUAUAACAUUGUACACGAUGGAAAGGAGGUUGAUACAUUGUCUACAUUGGUAUUUUUUAGUAGUAUUAGUAGCGUAUGAACUUCUUAUAAAGUCUUUGUUUAUUGAUGUAAAGAAUGUUGCUCAAUGUGUACCCCAUUGUUUAGGUGUAAAAUCUGAAGCUGCGGUCUGCUGUUCAGG